ACUCUCAAGGAGCGCUGCAGCGCCACCCCGACGCGCUUGUGUCGGGGCCGGUGUCAGGCUUGAGAGUCCGGGCUUUCAUCGCCCUGCCGGCCAGACCGGCCCCAACGGCGCUCACCAGUU
Molecule: non-coding RNA, 120 nt
Filed under: Hydrogenophaga sp.
Lineage: Bacteria; Pseudomonadati; Pseudomonadota; Betaproteobacteria; Burkholderiales; Comamonadaceae
Description: SAH sequence
Rfam family: SAH (S-adenosyl-L-homocysteine) riboswitch aptamer
Source: RNAcentral